UACGUAGGUCCCGAGCGUUGUCCGGAUUUAUUGGGCGUAAAGCGAGCGCAGGUGGUUUAUUAAGUCUGGUGUAAAAGGCAGUGGCUCAACCAUUGUAUGCAUUGGAAACUGGUAGACUUGAGUGCAGGAGAGGAGAGUGGAAUUCCAUGUGUAGCGGUGAAAUGCGUAGAUAUAUGGAGGAAUACCGGUGGCGAAAGCGGCUCUCUGGCCUGUAACUGACACUGAGGUUCGAAAGCGUGGGGAGCAAACAGG
This 252-nucleotide ribosomal RNA is filed under the name uncultured bacterium. RNAcentral's name for it is "partial 16S ribosomal RNA". It matches the Rfam family "Bacterial small subunit ribosomal RNA", at positions 524 to 776 of the family's 1533-position model. The record is from RNAcentral.